UACGAAGGGGGCUAGCGUUGCUCGGAAUCACUGGGCGUAAAGCGCACGUAGGCGGCUUUCUAAGUCAGGGGUGAAAUCCUGGAGCUCAACUCCAGAACUGCCUUUGAUACUGGGAAGCUCGAGUCCGGAAGAGGUGAGUGGAACUCCGAGUGUAGAGGUGAAAUUCGUAGAUAUUCGGAAGACCACCAGUGGCGAAGGCGGCUUGCCAGAAUGCGCUCGGCGGUGAGGGAUGAAAGCUGGGGGAGCAAACCGG
RNAcentral lists this ribosomal RNA (253 nucleotides) under uncultured bacterium. RNAcentral describes it as "partial 16S ribosomal RNA". It matches the Rfam family "Bacterial small subunit ribosomal RNA", at positions 524 to 776 of the family's 1533-position model. The record is from RNAcentral.